UUCUGUAUAUGGCCAAACCCCAUAAAAGUGCAAUGAAUACAUCAAUGUGAUGACACAUAUUCUAAGCAGUCUGGUGUUUAAGAGCAUGUUGUAUAGCAUCUGACAUCUUUUAUCUUGAAAUGUGCUCCCAGAAUAAGUGGCAUGAAAAUUGCCAACCAAGCAGAGAAAUGGCCUAAAGAAACAAGUGUCCUCUUAAAAAAAAUUCUAUGCGAUCAUCUACAAGUCAAUUAUUAACUGCAGAAGAAAGUAUAUCAGUGGAAACCCUGUUUCAGGACUCAGAAAUCUGUAUUUAUUCCUAAAAACAAUGGAUAGGAAGGUAAAGUAGGUUUUUCCUUCUGGCAUUUAAGAUCUAGAAUUUGGAAUGUUUCAGGAUUGCAUGGAACACGAAGUCUUGUUAUGAGAAGAAUAUUUUUAAAAGAAUGAGGAAAAAGGAAGCAAAGAUGACCACUCUAUUAGAAAGGUGGGGUUGUUGAAAGGGGACUUAAUAAGUUGUUAUUUGAGAACUUAUCCAUCUUUAGACAAUUACCUGUCUGUGUUAUGCCUGGCCUGGAAUAUUGCUCAAUGUUAAUUGCACGAGUGGCACUCUGUGGAGAGCCAAAUGGAAGUUUUUAAUAAAAAUGUCUUGUGACUUGA
Long non-coding RNA from Leopardus geoffroyi (Geoffroy's cat), 633 nucleotides. RefSeq lists it as uncharacterized. The record is from RefSeq and is a predicted model, not a curated record. Lineage: Eukaryota; Metazoa; Chordata; Mammalia; Carnivora; Felidae. The transcript has 2 exons.